CGUCAGAGACAGAGACAAGCACUGUGCAGGUGGAGGUGCUGAAGACCCCCCCCCGUGAAGCAGUGUACCACCAAAGAGGUAGGGCAGGAGGCAGGGACGUCAGAGAGCCAGGUGCCAGAGACAAGCACCGUGCAGGUGGAGGUGCUGAAGACCCCCCCCCGUGAAGCAGUGCACCAUCAUAGAGGUGGGUCAGGAGGAGCAGCCCCAGCGGGAUGAUCUGAGACAGGCUACCACCACGGAGGGGCCAGCUGUCAGGACAGGGUCCGUGAGGGACACAGUACUUGGUCCUAGACGCAAAAAGAAAAAGUCAGAUUGCUCCUACCACACUCGCCUAGAAACUUUCCCCAUCAGGAGUGUAAUAAGAGAAAGAAUGAGAAAGGGAAAAGCAGAAAUGUUGGUGGAGUGGGAGCCCUGUCCAGUAUGUGGCAAGGAGUGGGCUCAUUCCUGGCAGCCGAAGAAUUCUCCGGGAUAAUGCAUAAAAAUAAAAACUGUUAUUUGAACUCCAG
Trematomus bernacchii (emerald rockcod) is the source of this 506-nucleotide long non-coding RNA. RefSeq lists it as uncharacterized. The record is from RefSeq and is a predicted model, not a curated record. The transcript has 5 exons. Lineage: Eukaryota; Metazoa; Chordata; Actinopteri; Perciformes; Nototheniidae.